AUUGAACGCUGGCGGCAGGCCUAACACAUGCAAGUCGAGCGGAUGAAGGGAGCUUGCUCCUGGAUUCAGCGGCGGACGGGUGAGUAAUGCCUAGGAAUCUGCCUGGUAGUGGGGGAUAACGUCCGGAAACGGGCGCUAAUACCGCAUACGUCCUGAGGGAGAAAGUGGGGGAUCUUCGGACCUCACGCUAUCAGAUGAGCCUAGGUCGGAUUAGCGAGUUGGUGGGGUAAAGGCCUACCAAGGCGACGAUCCGUAACUGGUCUGAGAGGAUGAGCAGUCACACUGGAACUGAGACACGGUCCAGACUCCUACGGGAGGCAGCAGUGGGGAAUAUUGGACAAUGGGCGAAAGCCUGAUCCAGCCAUGCCGCGUGUGUGAAGAAGGUCUUCGGAUUGUAAAGCACUUUAAGUUGGGAGGAAGGGCAGUAAGUUAAUACCUUGCUGUUUUGACGUUACCAACAGAAUAAGCACCGGCUAACUUCGUG
RNAcentral lists this ribosomal RNA (484 nucleotides) under uncultured bacterium. RNAcentral describes it as "partial 16S ribosomal RNA". It matches the Rfam family "Bacterial small subunit ribosomal RNA", at positions 30 to 507 of the family's 1533-position model. The record is from RNAcentral.